AUUAUAACCAGAGGUCGGGUACCUCAAAAAUUAAU
Molecule: non-coding RNA, 35 nt
Organism: Cryomorphaceae bacterium BACL21 MAG-121220-bin10
Lineage: Bacteria; Pseudomonadati; Bacteroidota; Flavobacteriia; Flavobacteriales; Cryomorphaceae
Source: Rfam